This 497-nucleotide ribosomal RNA is filed under the name uncultured bacterium. RNAcentral's name for it is "partial 16S ribosomal RNA". It matches the Rfam family "Bacterial small subunit ribosomal RNA", at positions 28 to 507 of the family's 1533-position model. The record is from RNAcentral.
GAUGAACGCUGGCGGCGUGCCUAAUACAUGCAAGUCGAGCGAACAGACGAGGAGCUUGCUCCUCUGACGUUAGCGGCGGACGGGUGAGUAACACGUGGAUAACCUACCUAUAAGACUGGGAUAACUUCGGGAAACCGGAGCUAAUACCGGAUAAUAUAUUGAACCGCAUGGUUCAAUAGUGAAAGACGGUUUUGCUGUCACUUAUAGAUGGAUCCGCGCCGCAUUAGCUAGUUGGUAAGGUAACGGCUUACCAAGGCAACGAUGCGUAGCCGACCUGAGAGGGUGAUCGGCCACACUGGAACUGAGACACGGUCCAGACUCCUACGGGAGGCAGCAGUAGGGAAUCUUCCGCAAUGGGCGAAAGCCUGACGGAGCAGCGCCGCGUGAGUGAUGAAGGUCUUCGGAUCGUAAAACUCUGUUAUUAGGGAAGAACAAAUGUGUAAGUAACUAUGCACGUCUUGACGGUACCUAAUCAGAAAGCCCCGGCUAACUACGUG